RNAcentral lists this ribosomal RNA (492 nucleotides) under uncultured bacterium. Its description in RNAcentral is "partial 16S ribosomal RNA". It matches the Rfam family "Bacterial small subunit ribosomal RNA", at positions 29 to 507 of the family's 1533-position model. The record is from RNAcentral.
AGUGAACGCUGGCGGUAGGCCUAACACAUGCAAGUCGAACGGCAGCACAGUAAGAGCUUGCUCUUACGGGUGGCGAGUGGCGGACGGGUGAGGAAUACAUCGGAAUCUACUUUUUCGUGGGGGAUAACGUAGGGAAACUUACGCUAAUACCGCAUACGACCUACGGGUGAAAGCAGGGGAUCUUCGGACCUUGCGCGAUUGAAUGAGCCGAUGUCGGAUUAGCUAGUUGGCGGGGUAAAGGCCCACCAAGGCGACGAUCCGUAGCUGGUCUGAGGGGAUGAUCAGCCACACUGGAACUGAGACACGGUCCAGACUCCUACGGGAGGCAGCAGUGGGGAAUAUUGGACAAUGGGCGCAAGCCUGAUCCAGCCAUACCGCGUGGGUGAAGAAGGCCUUCGGGUUGUAAAGCCCUUUUGUUGGGAAAGUAAAGCAGCAGGUUAAUACCCCGCUGUUCUGACGGUACCCAAAGAAUAAGCACCGGCUAACUUCGUG